UUUUCAGGGGAAAAAAUAUCCACAUAAAACAGAAAAAUGUGCAACAUGCAUCAUUCCUCUUAAUAUAUUACUUCUCUACGGCUGUUCCUAGCUCUGGUUUUCUAAGGAGAAAGUCAACUUACAGUGAGAAAUUCGGAUGAUGUUCCUUGAAUAAGUGGAACUGAGAAAGAUGGCGAUUUAAGAGGCUGUAUUGAUUGCGAUAUUCUGAAGGGCAUCUUGAAUGAACGUGUGUAAACAACAUUUCGCCAGAGAUUUACAGAAAAUCUCGAUAUGUAUGUUCAGAUGACAAGCAUACGAGUGAGCGAGACAGCUGAACUGAAUAGGCAAUAUUCAUAAAUUUCGUAUUGUAUAGGAAAUACGAAAAUCACAGAGAUUCCCAUGCAGUCGAGAUUUGAACCUGUGAAAGACUUGGGUAACCAAAUUA
This is a long non-coding RNA of Stegodyphus dumicola, 424 nucleotides long. The record is from RefSeq and is a predicted model, not a curated record. Lineage: Eukaryota; Metazoa; Arthropoda; Arachnida; Araneae; Eresidae.